GACGAACGCUGGCGGCGCGCUUAACACAUGCAAGUCGAACGGUAAGGCCCUGCUUUUGUGCUUUGCUCGAGUGGCGAACGGGUGUGUAACACGUGAGUAACCUGCCCUUUACUUUGGGUUAACUUCACGUAACUAUGGCUAAUACCGGAUAGGAUCUCCUGCUUCAUGGUUCGUGUUGGCAAGUUUCGUCGGUUGGGGAUGUACUCGCGGCUUAUCAGCUUUUUGGUGGGGUAGUGUCUUACCAAGGCUUUGACGGGUAGCCGGCCUGAGAGGGUGACCGGAAACAUUGGAACUGAGAUAAGGCACAGACUAAGACGGGAGGGAGCAGUGGGGAAUAGUGCACAAUGGGAGGAAGCCUGAUGCAGCAAAGCCGCGUGGGGGAUGACGGCAUGCGGGUUGUAACCCGAUUUCGCCUGUGACGAAGAGAGAGUGACGGUAAUGGGAAAAGAAGCACCGGCUAACUACGUG
This 468-nucleotide ribosomal RNA is filed under the name uncultured bacterium. RNAcentral describes it as "partial 16S ribosomal RNA". It matches the Rfam family "Bacterial small subunit ribosomal RNA", at positions 28 to 507 of the family's 1533-position model. The record is from RNAcentral.